GUCUCUGAAGCCACCGUCGUCACCACCUCUGUCACCUCAGCGACGGCUGCCAUCCGUACUUCAUUGGGUAGUUCUGGCAAUUCUACCUCAUCAAGUGCUGGUGGCCGUUUAAGCCCUGAAGGGCGUGUCUCGAAGCCUGUCAGGAGAAGGUCUAGAGCUUCCCGGAGAACUCCCACAACGUUACUAAAUACAGAUACUACGAAUUUUCGGGCUAUGGCUCAGCAGUUUACUGGUGGUCCUAGUGCUCCUUUUGCUUCAGGAUCACAGCUUAGUGCACCAAGUUUCGGUUUUUCGCUGAACCCACGCCAAGCCCAUGUUAACCCUAGUGCAGUUAU
This 335-nucleotide unclassified non-coding RNA is filed under the name Hevea brasiliensis (rubber tree). The record is from RNAcentral. Lineage: Eukaryota; Viridiplantae; Streptophyta; Magnoliopsida; Malpighiales; Euphorbiaceae.